RNAcentral lists this ribosomal RNA (495 nucleotides) under uncultured bacterium. Its description in RNAcentral is "partial 16S ribosomal RNA". It matches the Rfam family "Bacterial small subunit ribosomal RNA", at positions 28 to 523 of the family's 1533-position model. The record is from RNAcentral.
GAUGAACGCUGGCGGCGUGCUUAACACAUGCAAGUCGAACGAAGCGUUUAAGUGGAUCCCUUCGGGGUGGAGCUUAAGUGACUUAGUGGCGGACGGGUGAGUAACGCGUGGGUAACCUGCCUCAUACAGGGGGGUAACAGUUGGAAACGACUGCUAACACCGCAUAAAACAGUAGUGCCGCAUGGCACAACUGUCAAAUAUUUAUAGGCAUGAGAGGGGCCCGCGUCUGAUUAGCUAGUUGGUGGGGUAAUGGCCUACCAAGGCGACGAUCAGUAGCCGGCUUGAGAGAGUGACCGGCCACAUUGGGACUGAGACACGGCCCAAACUCCUACGGGAGGCAGCAGUGGGGAAUAUUGCACAAUGGGCGAAAGCCUGAUGCAGCGACGCCGCGUGAGUGAAGAAGUAUUUCGGUAUAUAAAGCUCUAUCAGCAGGGAAGAUAAUGACAGAACCUGACUAAGAAGCCCCGGCUAACUACGUGCCAGCCGCCGCAGUAA